Molecule: transfer RNA, 62 nt
Filed under: Monodelphis domestica (gray short-tailed opossum)
Lineage: Eukaryota; Metazoa; Chordata; Mammalia; Didelphimorphia; Didelphidae
Rfam family: tRNA
About the family: Transfer RNA (tRNA) molecules are approximately 80 nucleotides in length. Their secondary structure includes four short double-helical elements and three loops (D, anti-codon, and T loops). Further hydrogen bonds mediate the characteristic L-shaped molecular structure. tRNAs have two regions of fundamental functional importance: the anti-codon, which is responsible for specific mRNA codon recognition, and the 3' end, to which the tRNAs corresponding amino acid is attached (by aminoacyl-tRNA synthetases). tRNAs cope with the degeneracy of the genetic code in two manners: having more than one tRNA (with a specific anti-codon) for a particular amino acid; and 'wobble' base-pairing, i.e. permitting non-standard base-pairing at the 3rd anti-codon position.
Source: Rfam by way of RNAcentral
UUUGGCACAGCUGGUAGCGCAUCGGUCUCACAAGCUGAAGGUCCCGAGUUCGAUCCUCAGAA